UACGUAGGGUGCAAGCGUUGUCCGGAAUUAUUGGGCGUAAAGAGCUCGUAGGCGGUCUGUUGCGUCGGCUGUGAAAACCCGAGGCUCAACCUCGGGCCUGCAGCCGAUACGGGCAGACUAGAGGUAGGUAGGGGAGAAUGGAAUUCCCGGUGUAGCGGUGAAAUGCGCAGAUAUCGGGAGGAACACCGGUGGCGAAGGCGGUUCUCUGGGCCUUACCUGACGCUGAGGAGCGAAAGCGUGGGGAGCGAACAGG
Molecule: ribosomal RNA, 253 nt
Filed under: uncultured bacterium
Lineage: Bacteria
Description: partial 16S ribosomal RNA
Rfam family: Bacterial small subunit ribosomal RNA
Source: RNAcentral